UGAACGGACAGUGAAGCACAAAGCGUCGGCAGCGCAGCACCGGUCACAGCCCAGUAUUUUGGGCCACCUCGCUAAAUGGAGCCCCGAUGGUGAAACAUAUGCCGAGACAAAGAUGGCUAUGCUGAUAGCUGGAACCAACAUCCCGUUCUCAUUUGCGGAUGUCUAUAACAAAUCCGUGAAGGAUAUGUUCCCGGAUUCAGAGAUCACUCGCCAGUACGCAAAUGGCAGAACAAAGGCUACUCAAAUAGUGAAAGGUGCCAUUGCCCCGGAAUUGGACAAGGAAGUGAUCGAACUUUGCCAAAACCAACCCUGUGGUCUGAUGUAUGAUGAAAGCACAAGCAGAAACACGGAUAAAGAGUUUGUGAUAUUGGCCAGGGUUUGCGAUCCGAAAACUCAGGAGGUGGUGACGAAGUUUCUGCACAUGCCAGUGUGCAACAUUGGCACAGCACAGAACCUCUUUGAGUCACUGAACACAGCGCUAAG
This is a long non-coding RNA of Nerophis lumbriciformis (worm pipefish), 483 nucleotides long. RefSeq lists it as uncharacterized. NCBI's taxonomy places the organism in Eukaryota, Metazoa, Chordata, Actinopteri, Syngnathiformes, Syngnathidae. The record is from RefSeq and is a predicted model, not a curated record.